CUUGAGCGAACCGAGCAGCAGUGGACGGUCCGCCGGUCGUGCCUGGCCGUAGGUCGCGAGCAGCGCCUGAGCCUC
This 75-nucleotide antisense RNA is filed under the name Amycolatopsis lurida. Its description in RNAcentral is "ASpks TB sRNA". It matches the Rfam family "ASpks TB sRNA". The record is from RNAcentral. Lineage: Bacteria; Bacillati; Actinomycetota; Actinomycetes; Pseudonocardiales; Pseudonocardiaceae. RNAcentral also lists the same sequence under 1 other name.